AGAGCGAACGCUGGCGGCAGGCUUAACACAUGCAAGUCGAGCGGGCGUAGCAAUACGUCAGCGGCAGACGGGUGAGUAACGCGUGGGAACAUACCUUUUGGUUCGGAACAACCCAGGGAAACUUGGGCUAAUACCGGAUAAGCCCUUACGGGGAAAGAUUUAUCGCCGAAAGAUUGGCCCGCGUCUGAUUAGCUAGUUGGUGAGGUAACGGCUCACCAAGGCGACGAUCAGUAGCUGGUCUGAGAGGAUGAUCAGCCACAUUGGGACUGAGACACGGCCCAAACUCCUACGGGAGGCAGCAGUGGGAAUAUUGGACAAUGGGCGCAAGCCUGAUCCAGCCAUGCCGCGUGAGUGAUGAAGGCCCUAGGGUUGCAAAGCUCUUUUGUGCGGGAAGAUAAUGACGGUACCGCAAGAAUAAGCCCGGCUAACUUCGCGCCAGCAGCCGC
This 446-nucleotide ribosomal RNA is filed under the name uncultured bacterium. Its description in RNAcentral is "SSU rRNA". It matches the Rfam family "Bacterial small subunit ribosomal RNA", at positions 26 to 518 of the family's 1533-position model. The record is from RNAcentral.